Molecule: ribosomal RNA, 253 nt
Filed under: uncultured bacterium
Lineage: Bacteria
Description: partial 16S ribosomal RNA
Rfam family: Bacterial small subunit ribosomal RNA
Source: RNAcentral
UACAGAGGUCCCAAGCGUUGUUCGGAUUCACUGGGCGUAAAGGGUUCGUAGGCGGUCGGGUAAGUCUGACGUGAAAUCCCGCAGCUCAACUGCGGAACUGCGUCGGAUACUAUUCGGCUUGAGGAAUGGAGGGGAGACUGGAAUUCUCGGUGUAGCAGUGAAAUGCGUAGAUAUCGAGAGGAACACCAGUGGCGAAGGCGAGUCUCUGGACAUUUCCUGACGCUGAGGCACGAAAGCCAGGGGAGCAAACGGG